ACAUACUCUCUCUUUUUCUUUGUUUGCACUCUCUUUUUUUUUUAUUUCUUUUCAAUCAUGCAUUCAAUGAUUGGCACCAUGUCUAACCGGCGAACAGCUGUUAUGACAAGUGAAAAGUUGACAAAAAAGCAACUCAAAAAACAAGAAAAGAAAC
Molecule: non-coding RNA, 154 nt
Filed under: uncultured Vexilliferidae
Lineage: Eukaryota; Discosea; Flabellinia; Dactylopodida; Vexilliferidae
Source: RNAcentral